This 376-nucleotide long non-coding RNA is filed under the name Phoenix dactylifera (date palm). Its description in RNAcentral is "long non-coding RNA (PDAC_LNC012876)". Lineage: Eukaryota; Viridiplantae; Streptophyta; Magnoliopsida; Arecales; Arecaceae. The record is from RNAcentral.
UCACAAAUAAUUUAUAAUUAUCAAUUUGAUUGAUAAUUGUUUUAACUCACUAAGAGUUAGUGAGUAGAAGAAGGAAUAAUUGCAAUUAGAUUGUAAUUUAAUUAAAUCAAUUGGACUUAAUUAAUUGGGUUUGAUCUUAUUUAAUAAGAGUCCUACUUGCAGUAGGACUCCUAGAGUCCUAAUUAGAUUUGGACUUCAAAUUAAAUUAGAGUCCUACUUGGAGUAGGAUUUCUAAAGUUCUAAUUGGAUUAGGACUAAAAUUAUAUGAGUCCUAAUUAGAUUGGGAUUCCUAAAGUCCUAAUUAAUUUUGAUCUAAUAAAUUAAGAUGACUCCUAAUUGGAUUAGGAUUGAAGAGUUCAAUUGAGUCAUGAUUCAA